This 1134-nucleotide long non-coding RNA is filed under the name Hordeum vulgare. RNAcentral's name for it is "long non-coding RNA (HVUL_LNC013754)". The record is from RNAcentral. Lineage: Eukaryota; Viridiplantae; Streptophyta; Magnoliopsida; Poales; Poaceae.
CGCAACGAAGGGAGGGGAGCCCGCCACCACCUACGUCGUCCGGGCGUUGCCCAGCGGCGCGAGCCGGCGGGUCAGGGGAAAGGGAGCGGGCUGGGCGAGAAGAGGGGGAUUUUUCAUCCUCUCAUUGUUGUACAAUCAGGGCCUAAUGGCAAUUGAAAUCUCUUCUAUUGAACUCUUACAUGUAUCUUCCUAAUCUAUAAUCUAAAGGCAGAGGUCAUGCCUGUUUAGCUUAAUUAAAAGACAGAUAAGAAGUGACGGAACUUUAUGUGCUUUGAUUAAGAAGUGAAACAUUAUUCUUUGCACCUUUUGUGAUCUUGGCAUGCACCAAGAAGGGACGAUACUGUUGCAAAUUCUUCUUACAGAUCUGCAGGGCUCAAGAUCGGAACGGUAGCUCCUGUGAGGGUGCAUGAGAGAAAGAGAACCUCAGCCCAAUAAGGAGUUUCUAGGCUCGCCACAAGUUCGUGUCAAGCUCAAGCUUUGACCAAGCCGAGUCCAAGUCCAAUUAUUUAUGCCUAGACGAGCCUAACAUCUCGGGCAAUGAGGUGGCGCGGAUCGGUUUGUUUCCAACCCAAGGAGCACCGUCUCACCAUGCAGUCAAUGCUUAGAGGGUGUUUGGAUACGUUUUAGUUCCAUGACUAAAAGUAGUGAGACUAAAACUUGCUAGCCUCAUCCAUGCUUGGAUCCAAGUACUAAAGAGACUAAAAUCAAGUUAAUGAGCAUUUAUUAUCCUCCAAACCCUCCAAUCCAGAACUUGCAUAAGGAGUUAAAUGAGGAGAGAGAGGACUAAUGCACAUUUUAGUAGGGGUACCCUUGACUAAAAGAUUUUAGCCUCAAGACUAGUUUUAGCCUCUCUUUAGUCAGGGGUGCUUGGAACUUUAGCCUCUUAAGGAGACUAGUUUUAGUCAGACUAGUUUUAGUCUCUUGGAUCCAAGCACCCUCUUAGCUUUGUUUUUUCGUAUGGUGGGACUAGUGACGGUAGCUACAUUUUCCCCAAUGCCUCUCAAUCCCAUUACCAUUCACCUCACGUGGGAAGUAGAUCUUGAAUCCAUAUGCCAUACGAGAAGAACAAAGGAGGAUGUACAUGAUACCGUGGUGUCUAGGGUAGUAAUUGUUGCAUGCAUUGCAAGAGAUGGU